ACACGACUACAUUAGAUACCCGGGUAGUCCUAGGCGUAAAUGAUGCGAGUUAAGUGUGGGGGCAUCUACGAGAUGGCCCUGUGCUGUAGGGUAGCCGUUAAACUCGCUGCCUGGGAGUACGGUCGCAAGGCUGAAACUUAAAGGAAUUGGCGGGGGAGCACCACAACGGGUGGAGCUUGCGGUUUAAUUGGAUUCAACGCCGGAAAUCUUACCGGGACCGACAGCAACAUGAAGGCCAGGCUGAAGACUUUGCCGGAUUAGCUG
RNAcentral lists this ribosomal RNA (264 nucleotides) under uncultured archaeon. Its description in RNAcentral is "partial 16S ribosomal RNA". It matches the Rfam family "Archaeal small subunit ribosomal RNA", at positions 717 to 982 of the family's 1478-position model. The record is from RNAcentral.